Molecule: long non-coding RNA, 878 nt
Organism: Glycine soja
Lineage: Eukaryota; Viridiplantae; Streptophyta; Magnoliopsida; Fabales; Fabaceae
Exons: 4
Source: RefSeq, a predicted model, not a curated record
UGUGAUUAUUGCUGAUGGACAGGUUUUUUCCAAUUUCUUCCAUUAUUUUAUUUUCAUGGAAUGAUUGAAUUGUUUUACCCUACUUCUCUUCUUGUUUUUUCAGGUAACCAGAAAUGUAGAUGUACCGUGUGGAAAGCUAAGCCCACAAGAACAAGCAACCAUUAAUUCUAUCGUUGCUGCCAGUCAUUAUCCUCUCUCGAUUAUUUCGGUUGGCGUUGGAGAUGGACCAUGGGAUGAGAUGAAGUACUACUGAGAGCUUAUUUGACAACUUUCAGAGCCUUUCAAAGAAGACUCAUAAUAUUUCUCAGUUUCCCUCCCAUCAAUGAGGUGCAAAUGCAUGAAACUCUCAGGUUCUGACUACAAUUCAUUUUGGUCAGAAAAUAAUAUUGCGGAUCCUCUUACAAAAGGGAUGACGCGUCAACAAGUACUUGAGUCGUCGAGGGGAAGGAGACUAAAGUCCAUUAUUUAGUUACAACAAUGGACACCCGUCUCCGUGUGAUUGGUGAUCCCAUGAAUGAAGUUCAACGGGUAAUAACGAAAUUGUUUGUUGACUAAAGUACACCAAAAUGAAAUUUGGCAGAGGAGUUGUUCCGUUUCUCAUUCCUAUGACGAGGUGUAUUAUAAAUUGUGACAAUAUUAAGGUUGAUGUAUUUAUAUGUGUAUUUUUGGUAAAAAAAAAAUACCUCUUAAUGAAUCUGAUGACAAUUAUUGUAGGGGUGGGGGUCAUAACCCACUCUCUGAGGAUUCACCUAGUGAGUAUGGUGGUGGGGCCGCCAUUGUGAGAUAUGGAUUAAUCUCUAAGUGACACUCAUGAAACAAGAUACAAGCGCAAGGCCGUGUAACGUGCUACCACUGAUUAGAACAUAAUUGAACGCCAA